UACAGAGUCAAUGUGGAGGCUAUAUACAAGGGGUACCAGUACAGAGUCAAUGUGGAGACUAUAUACAGGGGGUACCAGUACAGAGUCAAUGUGGAGGCUAUAUACAGGGGUACCGGUACAGAGUCAAUGUGGAGGCUAUAUACAGGGGUACCGGUACAGAGUCAAUGUGGAGGCUAUAUACAGGGGGUACCAGUACAGAGUCAAUGUGGAGGCUAUAUACAGGGGGUACCAGUACAGAGUCAAUGUGGAGGCUAUAUACAGGGGGUACCAGUACAGAGUCAAUGUGGAGGCUAUAUACAGGGGGUACCGGUACAGAGUCAAUGUGGAGGC
Molecule: long non-coding RNA, 330 nt
Organism: Oncorhynchus tshawytscha (Chinook salmon)
Lineage: Eukaryota; Metazoa; Chordata; Actinopteri; Salmoniformes; Salmonidae
Source: Ensembl